Long non-coding RNA from Carassius carassius (crucian carp), 490 nucleotides. RefSeq lists it as uncharacterized. The record is from RefSeq and is a predicted model, not a curated record. The transcript is spliced from 3 exons. Lineage: Eukaryota; Metazoa; Chordata; Actinopteri; Cypriniformes; Cyprinidae.
UAACAGCUGAUCUGAAUUCAGAUAUCCACGGGAGAAGAAACACUUUUCCUGGCAAGUCCUCACUUGUGUGAAAUACUUUCACUUUAGUUUUGUCUGGUUAAAUGUGCCGUGAUUUACGCCAGAACAAAAGAUUCAUGCUGAACUUUUACCAUGUUUAACCGGUUGAACCAUCUGCUGUUGCUGCUUCUUUGCCUCGUUUAUCACAGCGAAACCUCCACUAUAUCUGUGUCAGGAGAAAACAGAGGAAACGUCACACUCAAAUGUGAACAUGAGGACAGUAAUAUUGUUCAGAUUAAGUUAUUCACUCCGUCAGAAAUCAUAUCUGUGUGUCAGACUGAAGAAUGUAGAGGACGAGUGUUUAAAGAAGGAAACUGUGACGUCGUCAUCAAGAAUCUGAUCUUCAGUGACGCUGGGAAAUACACUUUGAGAAUCGAUUACAAUAAUGAUCAGACAGAGCUGAAGUCAAAUAAUGAUCAGAUAGUGCCGAAGG